This 254-nucleotide ribosomal RNA is filed under the name uncultured Lactobacillus sp. Its description in RNAcentral is "partial 16S ribosomal RNA". It matches the Rfam family "Bacterial small subunit ribosomal RNA", at positions 109 to 355 of the family's 1533-position model. Lineage: Bacteria; Bacillati; Bacillota; Bacilli; Lactobacillales; Lactobacillaceae. The record is from RNAcentral.
AGUAACGCGUGGGUAACCUGCCCUUAAGUCUGGGAUACCAUUUGGAAACAGAUGCUAAUACCGGAUAAAAGCUACUUUCGCAUGAAAGAAGUUUAAAAGGCGGCGUAAGCUGUCGCUAAAGGAUGGACCUGCGAUGCAUUAGCUAGUUGGUAAGGUAACGGCUUACCAAGGCGAUGAUGCAUAGCCGAGUUGAGAGACUGAUCGGCCACAUUGGGACUGAGACACGGCCCAAACUCCUACGGGAGGCAGCAGCU